UAGAACCUAGACGAUUUCUUUGCACACAUUUUAGGCCCAGUCCGUAAACAGAAGGAGAAUUCCUCCCCACUUUGGCUAGGAAAAUAGCCUUUUUGGCUGGAGAUCUGUUCCUUGCAGCAGCAACACCUUAAUUAACAUUAUUUUCUGGACACCAAAGCUAGCUUCAGGAUGGUGAUGAACAUAGUCCGGAACUACUGGUGGGCGGCCAUCACACCUGCCUUCGCCCUGGUGGGUUACUACCUUGACACCCAACAGACCGUCAGGUACUCCGGCUGGAAGAACAGGACGGAGCUCUACAAACGGGAACUCAAGGAAGGAGAAGACCCAUGGACCUCGACUGUUCGAUCAUGAUCUGAGGGUCGAACUGCUAGUGGUCUUUGAGGAGUAGAGGAUAUCUAUUUUGGACAUUAUCAACAAAUUUAUUAGGACUUGAAAAACAGGAAUUUAAGCCAGUAGGACAGAACACUUCAAACAGGAGCUUAAGGAAGGAGAGGACCCAUGGACCGACCUCGACUGUUCGAUCAUGAUCUGAGGGUUAAACUGCUGGUAGUCUUUCAGGAGUAGAGGAUAUCUAUUUCGGACUUUAUCAACAAAUUUAUUAGGACUGUACAAAUGGGAACUGAAGCAAGGAGAAGGCUGAUGGACAUCGACUGUUAGAUCCUGAUCGGAGGGGAGAAGUUUUAGUGGUCUCUGAAAAGUAGAGGAUAUCAAUUUCGCCUUUCUUGGACAUUACCUACAAAGUCAUGUUCAGCUUCACUGUAGACAGCAAUCAGGCAGCAAUAGCUUUGAUAAAGAGAAUCAUUUUAAUAGAACUGAAAGACAUUGUCUUACGUUUCAUUGCAUUGUCUUAUUAUGUUGACAAUGCAUAGAAUGUAACCAGACAUCUAAAUUAAAAAAAUGUUAAAAAAUUACAAAAAACAGACUUGUGGUCCGUGAUAACUGUGUUUGCAGAUGCCCAAGAUAUACAUGUAUGAUUAUUUCAAGUUUACCCUUGACCCAAUAUACAUGUAGUUGUGAAGAAUAUUCCAAUAGCAUCUAUUACAUGGAUGCACUCCGCAGAAUUUGCAAUUCUGUGAGACCAAGUCAAAAGCUUCUACGAAUGCAUGUGUCAUGGCUCUCUUUUCCCAGUGUAUACUUAUAAAAGAGUUUUAUGGUGGAUUUCAAUUUUUGAAUGGGUUUUCCCUUCAUGAAAGAUGUAAAAUAAACAUUGAAAAUAGA
Molecule: long non-coding RNA, 1218 nt
Organism: Strongylocentrotus purpuratus (purple sea urchin)
Lineage: Eukaryota; Metazoa; Echinodermata; Echinoidea; Camarodonta; Strongylocentrotidae
Exons: 2
Source: RefSeq, a predicted model, not a curated record